This 460-nucleotide ribosomal RNA is filed under the name uncultured Porphyromonadaceae bacterium. RNAcentral's name for it is "bacterial SSU rRNA". It matches the Rfam family "Bacterial small subunit ribosomal RNA", at positions 338 to 795 of the family's 1533-position model. The record is from RNAcentral. Lineage: Bacteria; Pseudomonadati; Bacteroidota; Bacteroidia; Bacteroidales; Porphyromonadaceae.
CCUACGGGGGGCUGCAGUGAGGAAUAUUGGUCAAUGGGCGAUAGCCUGAACCAGCCAUGUCGCGUGAAGGAAGACAGUCUUAUGGAUUGUAAACUUCUUUUGUCAGGGAAUAAAGUGAGUUACGUGUAACUUAUUGCAAGUACUUGACGAAUAAGGAUCGGCUAACUCCGUGCCAGCAGCCGCGGUAAUACGGAGGAUCCGAGCGUUAUCCGGAUUUAUUGGGUUUAAAGGGUGCGUAGGUGGACAAGUCAGUCAGUGGUGAAAGUUUGCAGCUUAACUGUAACAUUGCCGUUGAAACUUCUUGUCUUGAGUGCAAAUGAGGUAGGCGGAAUGGGUUGUGUAGCGGUGAAAUGCUUAGAUAUGACACAGAACUCCGAUUGCGUAGGCAGCUUACUGGGAUGCAACUGACACUGAGGCACGAAAGCGUGGGUAUCAAACAGGAUUAGAUACCCUGGUAGUC